GUUUGUGAACAUAUAUUUUGCAUAUGUAAGCAAAUGAAACACGAGAAGUCUGCUGGAUUAAACCAUGUGUGAUAUGAUGGUUAGAUGGGCGAUGAUGACCACCAAAAUAACUUGUCAGUUAUAUUGUGAUAACGCCCCCUCUCAAUAAUGUGGUCAACAUAACCGAGGGGUACAGUCUCUCAUCCAGGUGAGCAAAGUGUUAUGUGUUGGGUUUAAAGUUACAUUUAUGGAGUCAACAUCACAGAGGAGCAUCACAGAUCAUGAGAAGUCUCUCUGUCCAGUUGCCAAAAUCUCAGCAAGCUUCUGAUGUCCCUUCUACACUGCCAUAUAAAAUCUAGAGAGGUGAGGAUUGUCACCUUGUCAUGGUGAGGGGGCUUAGUUGUUCCAGUUGCUUCAAUUCCUCCAUUUAUAGGUUUUACCAAUAGUGUAGAUACCUCCCUUUGUAUUACUUUUUGGGUGGAACAUAAAAAAACCCUAAUGCCAGCCUUAGUUGGUCUAUUCCAUUUGCCUGCACAGAGGUCUCUUGCUAGACUCCUCCACUUUCUGCAGUAGAGCUACAGAGACUUAGAGGCUUGGGCAUUGUCUGUUAAUCCUAGGCCCAAGCAAUCCAAAACAGGUAUCCUUAGCACCUGCAUUCAACAGUAUUCAUAUACCACCAGUCCCAGAGACAACAGAAGCUUUUGACCAACUUAAGUUUCACAAGAAAGAAGAUUAAGACAGUUUAUAAGCUCCAGUUUGUAAACCAUCGCUGUGCAUCAGAGACAGAAGACUUUGAAUGACUCCAAAGAGAUGACUGCAACAGCAAAAUCUCAUUUUGUAAUUUAUUGUUUUAAGCUAUCUUAUAAUAGUCCCGUGUGGAGAUAACCCUUUAUUCAUCUUGUUUUCAGUAAACUAAUUUGGUUAUCUUUUCACCUUGCCGAAAGUGCCUCUGUAUGUUAAGGGUCUUGAACUUAACAGAAGGUAUACAAAUAGCCCCCAAGUAAAGCCAGAUACUAUAGGUUUUCCCAAAGGCUCGGGUGUCAUGGGACCAAUUCCAAGAGCUGAGUUUGCAAGCUCUUGAAUCGGAGCCAUAACAAAUUACACUCCUCUACAUCUCUCACGGAACACCUGGCAGCGAAGCCUGGGAAACUCAGGAGGGAAACCAAAACAUUUUUGAUGAGUAACUGUUUUGUAGUGAUGAUAUUUACGUGUGAUGUGACGUUGAAACAAAGGUGAUAAAGGUGAUUGUAUGUAAACAUUAUGUCAUUCUCGACUUUGUUCAUGUCGAGUGUUCUUCAAUAAAAAUCCUGUUUGAUAACAGCUACCAGUGGUCUGUCUUCAUGCCAGUCGUUUGAAGUGAGCACGACAUAAAGUCGAGAAUCCAAAUUCUCACCCUCCUGCGGAGCAGCAGUGAAG
Molecule: long non-coding RNA, 1395 nt
Filed under: Anolis carolinensis (green anole)
Lineage: Eukaryota; Metazoa; Chordata; Lepidosauria; Squamata; Anolidae
Description: lncRNA (ENSACAG00000042724.1)
Source: RNAcentral